Molecule: long non-coding RNA, 1304 nt
Organism: Oncorhynchus keta (chum salmon)
Lineage: Eukaryota; Metazoa; Chordata; Actinopteri; Salmoniformes; Salmonidae
Exons: 3
Source: RefSeq, a predicted model, not a curated record
GGUAGCCUAGUGAUUAGAGUGUAGGGGUGGCAGGGUAGCCUAGUGGUUAGAGUGUAGGGGUGGCAGGGUAGCCUAGUGAUUAGAGUGUAGAGGUGGCAGGGUAGCCUAGUGGUUAGAGUGUAGAGGUGGCAGGGUAGCCUAGUGGUUAGAGUGUAGAGGCGGCAGGGUAGCCUAGUGGUUAGAGUGUAGAGGCGGCAGGGUAGCCUAGUGGUUAGAGUGUAGAGGUGGCAGGGUAGCCUAGUGGUUAGAGUGUAGGGGUGGCAGGGUAGCCUAGUGGUUAGAGUGUAGAGGUGGCAGGUAGUCUAGCGGUUAGAGUGUAGAAGCGGCAGGGGAGCCUAGUGGUUAGAGUGUAGGGGUGGCAGGGUAGCCUAGUGAUUAGAGUGUAGAGGUGGCAGGGUAGCCUAGUGGUUAGAGUGUAGAGGUGGCAGGGUAGCCUAGUGGUUAGAGUGUAGAGGCGGCAGGGUAGCCUAGUGGUUAGAGUGUAGAGGUGGCAGGGUAGCCUAGUGGUUAGAGUGUAGAAGUGGCAGGGUAGCCUAGUGGUUAGAGUGUAGAAGUGGCAGGGUAGCCUAGUGGUUAGAGUGUAGAAGUGGCAGGGUAGCCUAGUGGUUAGAGUGUAGAAGUGGCAGGGUAGCCUAGUGGUUAGAGUGUAGAGGCGGCAGGGUAGCCUAGUGGUUAGAGUGUAGAAGUGGCAGGGUAGCCUAGUGGUUAGAGUGUAGAGGUGGCAGGGUAGCCUAGUGGUUAGAGUGUAGAGGUGGCAGGGUAGCCUAGUGGUUAGAGUGUAGAGGUGGCAGGGUAGCCUAGUGGUUAGAGUGUAGAAGUGGCAGGGUAGCCUAGUGGUUAGAGUGUAGAAGUGGCAGGGUAGCCUAGUGGUUAGAGUGUAGAAGUGGCAGGGUAGCCUAGUGGUUAGAGUGUAGAAGUGGCAGGGUAGCCUAGUGGUUAGAGUGUAGAAGUGGCAGGGUAGCCUAGUGGUUAGAGUGUAGUAUUGGCAGGGUAGCCUAGUGGUUAGAGUGUAGAAGCGGCAGGGUAGCCUAGUGGUUAGAGUGUAGAAGCGGCAGGGUAGCCUAGUGGUUAGAGUGUAGAAGUGGCAGGGUAACCUAGUGGUUAGAGCGUUGGACUAGUAACCUGAAGGUUGCAAGUUCAGAUCCCAGAGCUGACAAGGUAGAAAUCUGUCGUUCUGCCCCUGAACAGGCAGUUAACCCACUGUUACUAGGCCGUCAUUGAAAAUAAGAAUUUGUUCUUUAACUGACUUGCCAAGUUAAAUAAAGGUUUAAAAAACAAAAAUGUUCUGGUACAGAUGCUGUUGU